AUGGGGACAGGGAUCAGCAUGGC
Molecule: microRNA, 23 nt
Filed under: Homo sapiens (human)
Lineage: Eukaryota; Metazoa; Chordata; Mammalia; Primates; Hominidae
Description: hsa-miR-6810-5p
Source: miRBase by way of RNAcentral